This is a long non-coding RNA of Mytilus californianus (California mussel), 541 nucleotides long. RefSeq lists it as uncharacterized. The transcript is spliced from 3 exons. The record is from RefSeq and is a predicted model, not a curated record. NCBI's taxonomy places the organism in Eukaryota, Metazoa, Mollusca, Bivalvia, Mytilida, Mytilidae.
GGCAGACGACACACUCAUGUGGAAUUUCAACCUUUCGAACUGAUGAGUGUGGAAGUUAUUAUUUAUUUCCGCAUGAACAUGAUGCUAUCAAAAUUAAAUGUUGUCUUAAGGACGUGACUAGUCACCUAAAGAGUGUUGGGGUUGCAACAGGAGGCUCUUACCGGCAUUUUAGUUUGGGAGAAUCUAUGACAGUCAGAAGGUGAACUUAUUUUGUAUAGAGUCGGCCUAUAUGAUGAUCGUUUGUACAGGGAUAUUACAGUGUGUCCACAUCAUCGAUAUAAACUGGGUAUCUAUUUUAAACAAAAAAGAACAUGCAGCCACCCAUCUCAUUCUGGGAAUGGGAAAGCAUACAGAGGAAUUACAGUUCCUGAAAGUCGUGAUGUUUUGCAGUCUUUUGGUGUCCUUCUUCCAGUGGGUACAGGAUUAUGCAGAAGUUGCAGCAAAAAAGUAGCUCCUUCCACAAUUGAGGAUACAGAAGAUUUGGACACAACAGAGAAAGAAAAAACAGAAACAUCCAGCUGUUUAAGCAUAAUGAAUAUUG